Molecule: RNA transcript, 3302 nt
Organism: Andrographis paniculata
Lineage: Eukaryota; Viridiplantae; Streptophyta; Magnoliopsida; Lamiales; Acanthaceae
Gene name: probable inactive ATP-dependent zinc metalloprotease FTSHI 1, chloroplastic
Exons: 16
Source: RefSeq, a predicted model, not a curated record
AAUACACACACCACACGCAGCUGAAACCUUUUGCACAACGAUUCACGUUCUGGCUAAUUCUUUCUCGUCCAAAGCCCAAUUCACCGUCGAAGCUUCCUAUCAAUCAAGACUGUUUCCAUUUUGAUUUCUGCAGGCGACCGUUAAUUGAUUUGAUUGGAGUCCGUUUCCGUCUUCUCCAACUAAGAAUGCACGGAAAUUGAGCUCGGGGGAGCGCCAGCAUCAGCGAAAUAUGUACGCCCCGUCACUGGGAAUUUCCAAGCCGUCUUUGAUCAAUUUCCCGACGGUAUCCCCGAGCAAAAGACCUAACAGAGGCUUCCACUCCCCCUUGAAAACAAGGGAGUUUCGCAUCUGCACUCGUGCUGUCUCAAAAUCCGGUUCGAAUUCCGAGAAAUCCAAUGAGGAUUUUGUGAGUAGGGUUUUGAGGGAAAACCCGAGCCAAGUUGAGCCCAGAUAUCUGAUUGGGGAUAAGCUGUACACAUCGAAGGAGAAGGAGGAGAGUUUGAACAAGAGGGGCAUUAAUGGGAGGCUUUCGGAGAUACUGUCGAGGCUGAAUUUGAGGGCAUUGGUAGGCCAGAAGGAUAAGGAGAGAGGCAGUGAGGAGAGUGAUGCUGCUGUAAAGCCUGAGGGGGAAGGGGAGGUUUAUUUGAAGGACUUGUUGAGGGAGUACAAAGGGAAGCUUUAUGUUCCGGAGCAAGUUUUCGGAGUUAAUUUGUCGGAAGAAGAGGAGUUUGUUAAGAACGUGAAGGAGCUGCCGAGAAUGAGCUACGAGGAUUUCCAGAAGUACCUGAUGAAUGAUAAGAUAAAGCUUGUGAGCUUUAAGGAGGAUUUUGGCAUUUCGUUUGGCACCAUGUUCAAGGAUUUUGUUGUUGAUUUGAAAGACAUACCCGGCGAGAAGAGCUUGCACAGCCGAAGAUGGUCGAUGAGGCUUGAUGCCGAGCAAGCUCGAGAGUUCUUGGAGACGUACAAGGGGCCGCGCAAUGAAAUAGAGAAGCAAACCACGUCUUGGGUAGGAAAAUUGCCAGAGUAUCCUAGUCCUGUGGCAUCCAAUUUAUCUAGCAGAGUGAUGGUUGAACUUGGAGUGAUAACUGCAGUAAUGACUGCCGCCGCAGUUGUUGUCGGAGGGUUUUUAGCUUCAGCAGCAUUUGCUAUUACCUGUUUUGUCUUUUUCGCGGCUGCAUACGUCAUAUGGCCUUUGUCUAAACCAUUUCUCAAGUUGUUUUUUGGUAUUGUCUUUGGAAUAUUGGAAAGAGUCUGGGAAAAUGUUGUUGAUUUCUUGGGUGACGGGGGAUUUUUUUCAAAAGUGUAUGAGGUUUAUAGAUUUGGUGGGGUUGCAGCGAGUAUUGAAAUGCUAAAGCCAAUAUUGAUGGUUUUUGUUACGAUGGUGCUUCUUGUUCGUUUCACCCUUUCAAGAAGGCCGAAGAAUUUCAGAAAAUGGGACAUAUGGCAAGGUAUCGAAUUUUCUCAAUCAAAACCUCAAGCACGUGUUGAUGGUUCUACCGGUGUCAUGUUUAGUGAUGUAGCUGGAAUUGAGGAAGCAGUGGAAGAACUCCAAGAGUUGGUAAGGUAUCUGAAGACUCCUGAGCUAUUUGACAAAAUGGGGAUAAAGCCUCCUCAUGGAGUUCUUCUCGAAGGCCCCCCUGGGUGCGGCAAGACAUUGGUUGCCAAAGCCAUAGCCGGAGAAGCAGGUGUUCCAUUUUAUCAAAUGGCUGGAUCUGAAUUUGUUGAAGUCUUGGUUGGUGUUGGUUCUGCUCGUAUCCGGGAUUUAUUCAAGCGAGCAAAGGUAAAUAAACCAUCUGUCAUUUUUAUAGAUGAAAUUGAUGCUCUGGCAACGAGGCGGCAAGGAACAUUCCAAGAGACAACAGAUCACCUAUACAAUGCUGCAACUCAAGAAAGGGAGACGACAUUGAACCAGCUAUUGAUAGAACUAGAUGGGUUCGACACAGGCAAAGGUGUUAUAUUCUUGGGUGCCACUAAUCGAAUGGAUUUACUAGAUCCUGCCCUUCUUCGCCCCGGUCGGUUUGACCGCAAGAUAAGAAUCCGCCCGCCAAAUGCUAAAGGGAGAUUGGACAUUCUAAAAGUUCAUGCCCGGAAAGUGAAGUUAUCAAAUACCGUUGAUCUGUCUAGUUAUGCAAACAACUUACCUGGAUGGUCGGGUGCAAAGCUGGCGCAACUUCUCCAAGAGGCAGCUCUUGUGGCAGUCAGGAAAGGACAUUCUGCUAUUCUUCAUUCAGACAUGGACGAUGCAGUUGACCGUCUGACGGUAGGUCCGAGGCGUGUCGGGAUAGACCUUGGCCACCAAGGACAAUCUCGGAGAGCCACAACCGAGGUGGGCACUGCCUUGACUUCCCAUCUGCUAAGACGUAUUGAGAAUGCAAACAUCGAGCGCUGUGAUCGUGUCUCCAUUAAUCCUCGUGGACAGACAUUGUCGCAAGUUGUAUUUCACCGUCUUAACGACGAGUCGUACAUAUUCGAGAGAAAGCCUCAGCUUCUACAACGCCUUCAGGUAUUGCUCGGCGGCAGAGCAGCCGAAGAAGUCAUUUUUGGGAGGAAUACCUCGAAAGCAUCAGUCAGUUACCUCGCCGACGCUUCCUGGCUCGCCCGAAAGAUCAUCACGAUAUGGAACAUAGAUGACCCAAUGACGAUCCACGGCGAGCCUCCUCCAUGGAUAAAGCGCCCUAAAUUUGUCGGCCCAAGAAUCGACUUUGAGGGCUCUCUUUACGACGACUACGAUCUGAUCGAGCCCCCGAUCAACUUCGAGCUAGAAGGCGACGUUGCGAGGAGGACGGAACAACUGAUGCACGAAAUGUACGGAAAAACAGUCGAUCUGCUCAGGCAGCACAAGGCAGCUUUGCUUAAAACUGUCAAGGUUCUUGUUGACCGGAAGGAGAUCAGCGGGGAUGAAAUCGACUACAUUCUGGAUAAGUAUCCGGCGCAGACGCCGACGAGGUUGGUGCUGGAGGAGCAAAAUCCGGGAAGCCUUCCGGCGUUGGAGCUGAAAGGGGAGGAGAGGGGCGAUUUGGAGUAUACCCUUUUGAGUUCUUAGCUUCUUUCGAGGAUCUGUUGAGGGAAAGUUUGGGAGAUGGGAAUGAAUUGUCGCCCAUUGUUGUUUAUUUGUGUAGUCUGAAGGAGGAUUCUUGCAUACGAAGAAGAUAAACAGAUUUUUGUGCGUUGAGAUUCAGACGGUUUUGAAGAGAAAUUCCACAUCCUCUGCUGCAGCGGCUGUGUGCCUGUGUCUUGUCAACGGAUGAUCUUCAACUUCCAGUUCCAGGCACGGAUUGGAGGCUGGAGGAGCAGAGGGAUUU